CGAUGCACGCAAAAACCUUACCCACCUUUGACAUGUACGGAAUUUGCCAGAGAUGGCUUAGUGCUCGAAAGAGAGCCGUAACACAGGUGCUGCAUGGCUGUCGUCAGCUCGUGUCGUGAGAUGUUGGGUUAAGUCCCGCAACGAGCGCAACCCUUGUCAUUAGUUGCUACGAAAGGGCACUCUAAUGAGACUGCCGGUGACAAACCGGAGGAAGGUGGGGAUGACGUCAAGUCCUCAUGGCCCUUAUAGGUGGGGCUACACACGUCAUACAAUGGCCGGUACAAAGGGUCGCAAACCCGCGAGGGGGAGCUAAUCCAUCAAAGCCGGUCGUAGUCCGGAUCGCAGUCUGCAACUCGACUGCGUGAAGUCGGAAUCGCUAGUAAUCGUGGAUCAGCAUGUCACGGUGAAUACGUUCCCGGGUCUUGUACACACCGCCCGUCACACCAUGGGAGCGGGUCUCGCCAGAAGUAGUUAGCCUAACCGCAAGGAGGGCGAUUACCACGGCGGGUUUCGUGACUGGGGUGAAGUCGUAACAAGCCAGCCGUAA
Molecule: ribosomal RNA, 547 nt
Filed under: Hydrogenophaga sp. BAC100P
Lineage: Bacteria; Pseudomonadati; Pseudomonadota; Betaproteobacteria; Burkholderiales; Comamonadaceae
Description: bacterial SSU rRNA
Rfam family: Bacterial small subunit ribosomal RNA
Source: RNAcentral